CAGGAUAUAGCUUAAACAAAGCAUUUUGCUUACACCAAAAAAAUAUCUAUGAAUAGAUUAUUCUG
RNAcentral lists this transfer RNA (65 nucleotides) under Pseudoeurycea tenchalli. Its description in RNAcentral is "tRNA-Val". Lineage: Eukaryota; Metazoa; Chordata; Amphibia; Caudata; Plethodontidae. The record is from RNAcentral. RNAcentral also lists the same sequence under 1 other name.